GACGAACGCUGGCGGCGUGCCUAAUACAUGCAAGUAGAACGCUGAAGAGAGGAGCUUACUCUUCUUGGAUGAGUUGCGAACGGGUGAGUAACGCGUAGGUAACCUGCCUUGUAGCGGGGGAUAACUAUUGGAAACGAUAGCUAAUACCGCAUAACAAUGGAUGACACAUGUCAUUUAUUUGAAAGGGGCAAUUGCUCCACUACAAGAUGGACCUGCGUUGUAUUAGCUAGUAGGUGAGGUAAUGGCUCACCUAGGCGACGAUACAUAGCCGACCUGAGAGGGUGAUAGGCCACACUGGGACUGAGACACGGCCCAGACUCCUACGGGAGGCAGCAGUAGGGAAUCUUCGGCAAUGGGGGCAACCCUGGCCGAGCAACGCCGCGUGAGUGAAGAAGGUUGUCGGAUCGUAAAGCUCUGUUGUAAGUCAAGAACGGGUGUGAGAGUGGAAAGUUCACAAUGUGACGGUAGCUUACCAGAAAGGGACGGCUAACUACGUG
RNAcentral lists this ribosomal RNA (497 nucleotides) under uncultured bacterium. RNAcentral describes it as "partial 16S ribosomal RNA". It matches the Rfam family "Bacterial small subunit ribosomal RNA", at positions 28 to 507 of the family's 1533-position model. The record is from RNAcentral.